AUAUUGCGCAAUGGAGGAAACUCUGACGCAGCGACGCCGCGUGAGCGAUGAAGGUCUNNNGAUCGNACAGCUCUGUCCUUGGGNAAGNAGAUCGAAAGAUUUGACGGUACCCGAGGAGGAAGCCCCGUCUAACUACGUGCCAGCAGCCGCGGUAACACGUAGGGGGCUAGCGUUGUCCGGAAUUAUUGGGCGUAAAGGGUGCGUAGGCGGCCUUUUAAGUCAGAUGUGAAAGCCCACGGCUUAACCGUGGGACUGCAUUUGAAACUGGAGGGCUUGAGUAUCGGAGAGGGUAGUGGAAUUCCCAGUGUAGCGGUGGAAUGCGUAGAUAUUGGGAGGAACACCAGUGGCGAAGGCGACUACCUGGACGAAAACUGACGCUGAGGCACGAAAGCGUGGGUAGCGAACA
This 406-nucleotide ribosomal RNA is filed under the name uncultured bacterium. Its description in RNAcentral is "partial 16S ribosomal RNA". It matches the Rfam family "Bacterial small subunit ribosomal RNA", at positions 361 to 774 of the family's 1533-position model. The record is from RNAcentral.